Molecule: long non-coding RNA, 8253 nt
Filed under: Triticum aestivum (bread wheat)
Lineage: Eukaryota; Viridiplantae; Streptophyta; Magnoliopsida; Poales; Poaceae
Description: long non-coding RNA (TAES_LNC001119)
Source: RNAcentral
GAUUUGAGAGAAGAACACGGCGGCUCGGCCUUGGCGUCCAUGGCGCGGUGGGAUAGCUCCUGGGUACCUGGAAGAGAGAGAUGUGGGAGGGAGAGAGAAAAGAGAAAGGAGAAAGGGAGGAAGAAUGGGAGGACAAGGGGAAGGAAGAAGGAUGAGGCGCAGGGCCUGCUGGUUCGGUGGUGAUUGUCGCCAUCGGCGUCUAGUACUCAGGCGAGGCGGCGCUGGUGGAUCGAGGUGCUCGGGGACGAGCGAGCAGAGGAGGGGAUCGAUGGAUUUGGAAGGAGUGCAUUGGUUGGGUGGCGGCGGAAAUCAAGGGAGAGGGUCGGAGAGAAUUUGGAUCGGGAGGAGAUCCCGAGGUGGGAUGGUGAGUGGCGGCGGCGGGUGAGGGAAAGAUGGGACAACUAGCCUAAAACUUAGGGUUUUGCCUGGUUAUAUAGGUAGGGGAUUUGACGUUAGACUAUAUGGUCCCUCCGAUAAAAAUCGGACGGCCGCGAACAAAAUAGCUAGGGAGUCCAAAUAAGAAAAUGGAGACAUUUUGUAGACGUUUGGGGAUGAUCCAGAUCCAACGGUGACGACUGCCCGGGUCGGGUCUGGGACAAUUUCGGACGCGCACGUGAGGGGUUCGAUGCACUGAGCAGAGAGGGUUUCGGACCGUGCGGUCGCAUCGGACAACUCCGGAAGCGAAGAGGGGAAGGAGGAUGGACUAGGUGGGCUGUGUAGACGGUCUCGAGAUGAUAGAAGAGAAGAGAGGGAGGCCCGGCGACUGUUUUCGGAGACCAAAAACGUCCGACGUUAGACCGACUAUACUGCCGCUAUAGUUUAACGGUUGGGCUAUCAAACGAACUCCGAAUGCGAUGAAACUUGGCAGGCGACCUACUAACGACAUAACAACACCGCACGCCAACUUUCAACCCAUUCCGAGAACAUUUUCCAGCCACUUAUAAAAUAAAAUUUCGGAGGUGCCGCGGGCGCGUGCAAGUGUGGUCUGGGCUCAGAACGGACAACGGACGGAACUGGAAGACCGGGGCGGAUGCAAGUAUUGAAAACACGAUGAUGCAAUGCACAUGAUGACAUGACAAGAUGCAACACGCAAGCGAAUGAUAAGGCAACAACAGCGAAUAACUGGAAGACACCUGGCACAACGGUCUCGGGGCGUCACAACACUCCACCACUACGAUAGGAUCUCGACCCGAGAUCCUAGGGAUGGCACCGGAGGGGAAAAUAAGAGGAAGAGGUGAGGUGAAACUAUGUUGAUUCUUUGACAAACGAGUGAAAACACGAGCCUUGAGAGGUUAAGCCAUUUCGAGAAAAGAAUACAACGGAGAUGACGAAGUUGAAAACACUCCGUUAGAAAAGAGGAACAAGGAAGAACAACUUCGGGCAGCACUCCGAUUGAAAAGAAAAGGAAUUGAAUAAGAACUUGAUAAGAUGAGAAGAUACUUGAUGAAAUCACAACACACUGCCUCCGGAACUAUUGAAUGAAAGGAACUAGGGGUAACAAAGAUCUCAUAUAGCACUCCGGUAGAAAAGAGGUGCAAGGCUUGAUAAGGCAAAAAGAACUUGAGCAAAAGGGCACAACACUCCGGUUAAAUGGAUAGGCACAAGAAAGAACAUGAUCUUAAAUGAAACGAGAUGAUGGUUGAAGAAAGCAACAUCACAAGGCCUCUGGAACAAAAGUAAGAAUGGAAUGGAAUGAACGAAGGGAAACAAGAUCUUGAGGGAGCACGCUUACAACAAAAGCUAGAACGGAGUUGUUGGAAAACCAACAACAAAAAGAAUAAGCUUUAAAUGGUCUUAUGGGAUACAUCUCAAAUUAUGAGGUGACAACCUUCCACUCACGGGAAAAAGAAUUGGAUUGGUAAGAACAAGGAGACGAGAAACUUAUUUCACCGGGAGGAUAAAUGAAGAACUUUGGUCAUUUAUGAGCACCAUAAAUAGCAACCAUCCGUAGGGAAGGCUUUAGGUGAAUCAUGACACAAGAUAACUCCAAUGAAGAGGUUGAUGGAUAUAAAAUACCCCAUUCUUAACAAUAUGUGAAUCGUGAAGCAUGAACUCAAAUUAUCAAGAAUGACAUAAUACCACCUCCAAUGAUACGGAAGAAAGAAUUGCACUCCGGAUUGCAAGAUGAAGAAAACUUGAGCUCCUUUGAAAAUAAAUCUUGAUGAACACUUCGAGAAGGGAUUAAAUCCUUUAUGAACCAUCAUGUUGAGCCUCCAUGAAGAACUCCGUUAACAAAAGAAUGAUCAAACAAAAAGAAAGGGUAGUUGAAAACACAAGGUGAAGCCUUGUACCGAUUUAAAUGAAUCUCCGUGGUGAAAUAAUUGAAAAAGGUUGGAACUCCGGGAAAAAGAGAAGAUGAAACAAUUGAAAACCGGAAUUUGAUGAGCCUCCAGACUAAGGAAUUGAAUUUACUCGAUGAAGCAAGAAUAAGAAUUACAUUAUGCUUAUCCUUCACCAAUUAAAUUGAUGACAAUCAACGGAUUUGGCAUAUUACUUAUUCUCAUAGAAAAGGUUAAGAGAGAUAUAACGUAAACUUGAGAAUGUCUUCAACGAACCACUGGUAGAAUCAAAACAACGAAUGAACUGAUAUGACAAAGAAGGAAGAGAAAUCUUGAACAAACCACCAUAAGAAUUGAAAAAGAACGGAGUAAAGGGAUGAAUCAUCGGUAAGAAUUAGAAAACGAACAAAGAUACUUGGGGAAAUUUAGAUACAAGAGAAUGAAGAGAUCACGAGCUGAUUAGAUAAAACUUGAAUGAAGCACCGGUAAGAUUUGGAGAACAAUAGCUGAAAGCUGGGAUGAAUAAUAUUUUAAAAGAUGGCCUUCGGAGUAAAGAAAUGGAAACAACUCAUGAAAUGCUCCGGAUGGGUGAAAAGAAUUCUCACAAUCGAAAAUAAUUAUUAGGGGAUGGCAUCAAGCUAGAAUCACGAAUCUUUGAGAGAGCGGAUAGAUAUGGAGGAAAAGUCUUCAUCGGUCUUCAAAACCUGAGAAUGACAACGAGAAACACCAACAAGAAUUAUUGAGACACUCCGGAAUGAAGAAUGGAAAAGUUGAGCCAACGAUGAAAAGAAAUUGAGAGCUCUUGGAGAAACACAUCUGACUAAUGAAAAAAAUUUCAUUCUUACAUCACACGUCGAAAAGAAUUUGAUGGUAGCUCCGGGAAAAUAGAAGAGUCAGGUAAGAUCCUGGGAAAAGACCUGUGGGUUAGGGCCCACUCAAAAGAAACACCGUUGGAAUGAUUUAAAAGAGAGGUUGCACCGGUUGAAUUAAAUGGCUUGAAUGAGAUAACAUCCUGGCAAAAUCUUGAAUGGAUUGAGAAUGGAAACGGAUCUUCCGAGAUAUCUUGAACACUCUGGAACAAUUGAAUGGCAAGCGGGGAAGAUUAAGAGGUGCACCGGCAUAAGUAAGCAUUAAAACGAGUAAAAGAUAUGAUCAACAAAGCUUGACUUGAAACCACCGGAGAGAAAAAAAAUGAAGAAUGAUGAACUUGAGGCCCCGUUAGAAUGACCAUGAGAAUCACCGGAUACGAACAUUGAUUGAAAAGAAAGAAGAGACUUCACAAGAAUAAAGGAUACUUGAUUAAGAUAUCGGAUUCCUUGAAGAAAAAGGGUGGGUGGGCGGGAAAAACAGAGGUAACUUGGGACGGAUGAAGCAAACAUGAUGAGAAGACAUGGAGUUGAUCUUGCGGAUGAGACAAAUGAUAGGAACAUCUUGAAGAGAAUCACACCGGUUGACAAGGAUUGACAUGACAAACUCGAUGAUCGAGAAGGAUUAGUAUUCACAUAGGAACAUGAGAACACCGCUUAGGAAAAGGUAUGGAAUCAACAUUUGACUUCGAAGCAACUCGAAUACCACAACUCAAAACAAAACAAAGGAUUGGCUUGCAGAAUAAGCCGGAACAAACAUAUGAUAGAGAUUUCGUCCGAAGUUUUCGUGGUGGGGCCUACAUGGGCUCGAUCGUACAGCACCAUCAUGUACAAGGCAGUGCACAUGACAUACGAAGCGUCCCAGAGUCGGCAUAGCCAAGCACUCUUUAAGACACAACGAGACCACUGUAAAACCAACCGUGGAUAGACGGACCACUAGACGUCGAACCCCAAUUUCAUAUCAUACAUCUAUCGAAAAGAUAUCCUAAGAACUACUUGAAUUCCCACUUAUAAACUCCCGAAAUUUUCCGGUUAUGCAAUCAGGUGUUGGGGAUACAGGGGAAGCAUAAUAUCUCACCCAAACUAGCAAAUCCUACAUCCAGUUGUAUCCAUCCUUCAACACAUAACCAAGAAACCUUCGGAAAUCAUCUACCUCAACCUUCGAAAAGCAUCCGUUAUACGAGUUAUGGCAAUACUCCCGAACUCCCGCCCCAGUACUGGGUGGCGUCGAGGUUAUCUCACCAACAACUGCAUAAAAGAGAUUUUCGAUGUCGGCGAAACUAAACUCAGGUAUUCCAGAACUGCAACGAUAAAAUUGUGACGACAACACCUCGGAGCUCAACUCCCCGGGACACUGCCACAACCCCUAAAUGACAGGAGGCACCAAGAACAAUGUUCUCGUCACAAAACCAUUGGAACGAUUCCAAGAUACCCGCGUGAUCCUAAAUUUUUUUUAGUGAAAUUUGAGAAGAGAAUAGUCAAAACUCUACAUCAGGAUGCCUCACCAGAGCGACGAAGGGGCUGAGGAGUAAAAAGAAUUCCUAACUCUCAGAUAUAUAUAAUUCCUAAAUGACUCAAAACAUUUCUAGACUCAAUAACACCAGCGAUUCGAUCAAGCAGGGGGCUCCUAAGGUCGGGGAAGGCUCUGAUUACCAACUUGUAACGCCCUCGAUGCAGCUAUAUCUCCCACGUGUCGAAGCACGACUUAGAGGCAUAACCGCAUUGAAAGCAAUGUCGCAAGUGAGGUAAUCUUCACACAACCCAUGUAAUACAUAAGGGAAAGAGAUACAUAGCUGGCUUACAAUCGCCACUUCACACAAUACAUAAAUAAAGCAUUACAUCAUCCAGAUACAAUCAAGGUCCGACUAUGGAACCAAAAUAAAAGAAGACUACCCCAAAUGCUACACAGAUCCCCGAUCGACCCCAACUGGGCUCCACUACUGAUCAACUAGAACGAAACAACACAAAGGACAAGAUCUUCAUCGAGCUCCUCCUGAGCUUGGUUGCGUCACCUGCACGGACUCAACGGCACCUGCAAACUGGUUUGGAAGUAAUCUGUGAGCCAUGGGGACUCAGCAAUCUCGCACCCUCGUGAUCAAGACUAUUUAAGCUUAUAGGUAAGGCAAGGUAAUAUGUGGAGCUGCAGCAAGCGACUAGCAUAUAUGGUGGCUAACCUGUUCACAAAAGAGAGCGAGAAGAGAAGGCAAAGCACGAACGAGUAACUAUAGAACAACCUACGGCAAACAUUACUCCAACACCGUGUUCACUUCCCGGACUCCGCCGAGAAGAGACCAUCACGGUAACACCGCAGUUGAUUCAUUUUAAUUAAGUUAAGGUUCAAGUUAUCUACAACCGGACAUUAACAAAUUCCCAUCUGCCCAUAACCGCGGGCACGGCUUUCGAAAGUUCAAAUCCCUACAGGGGAGUCCCAACUUAGCCCAUGACAAGCUCUCACGGUCAACGAAGGAUAUACCUUCUCCCGAGACAUUCCGAUCAGACUCGCAUCCCGGUUCUACAAGACAACUUCGACAAGUUAAAACAAAUCCAGCAACACCGCCCGAAUGUGCCGACAAAUCCCGAUAGGAGCUGCACAUAUCUCGUUCUCAGGGCACACUCAGAUUGUCCAAACUUCCGGUAGGCCAGCCCAGAGUUGCCCCUGGUGGCCACCGGCGGCUGACGAGGUGGACCAACACUCAGAGGAGCACUGGCCCGGGGGGGUUUAAAUAAGAUGACCCUCGGGCUCCAGAAACCCAAGGGAAAAAGAGGCUAGGUGGCAAAUAGUAAAACCAAGGUUGGGCAUUGCUGGAGGAGUUUUAUUCAAGGUGAACUGUCAAGGGGUUCCCAUUAUUACCCAACUGCGUAAGGAACGCAAAAUCCGGGAACAUAACACCAAUAUGACGGAAACUAGGGCGGCAAGAGUGGAACAAAACACUAGGCAAAAGGCCGAGCCUUCCACCCUUUACCAAGUAUAUAGAUGCAUUAAGAUAACAAGAUAAUAUAAUGAUAUCCCGACAACUAAACAAUGUUCCAACAAGGAACGAUCUCCAAUCUUCACCUGCAACUAGCAACGCUAUAAUAGGGGCUGAGCAAAGCGGUAACAUAGCCAAUCAACGGUUUGCUAGGACAUGGUGGGUUAGAGGUUUGACAUGGCAAUUUGGGAGCCAUGAUAAGCAAGUGGUAGGCAUUGUAGCAUAGGCAUAGCAAAAGAGCGAGCAACUAGCAAGCAAAGAUAGAAGUGAUUUCGAGGGUAUGGUCAUCUUGCCUGAAAUCCCACAAGGAAGAAGAACGAGUCCACGAAGAAGACAAACGGACGUAGACGAACGGGUCCUCACAAACUCGACGUUACCGGAACCAACCCAAAGGAUCCAACACCGGAAAGAAGCACACAACAUAGUAAACAACCACAACAUGAACAUGGCAUGAUGCACAAUCAAGUAUGAUGCAUGUCCGGUUUAAUGAAGCAUGGCAUGGCAAAGUGCACAAACAAUCCUACAAAUUAAGUGGAGCUCAUUAUGCAACGGAGUUGCAUAUUGAAGAAAACACCACAAGACUUAUUUAGUUAUCUCUCGUUUAUGUACCCAACAAGAUUAAAUGUUGAUUAACAUGGCAAGAGGGUGAAGCAAAGUAAAACUACCUAUCUAGUCAAGUUUAAAUGAGGCCGGAAGCAACGAACAACAAAUCCGGAAACUCCUCAUGUGCAUAUAUUAGGUUUGAUCCUGUUCUGCCCUAAACCAUAUUUUAGAGUUGUUAAACAUGCAAAGUAAAGCCACCAUGUUAAACUAGGAAUUUUUCUACACCAUUUACAUAUAAAGAUUAUAGGAAACUGAGCCACGGUUAAUUAGUUAUGAAUUAAAGCAUUUUAGCAUGGCAUUAAGCAAAAAUUACACAAACAGCAUUUUAAGACAUUUUAAACAUGGAUGAAAAUGACAUAUUAUGAAACUAGACAAAGUUCUAAGCAAGUUUCAUAUAUAAAUUGUUUUAAUUCGAUGCACGGUUCUUAAGUUAUUAUAUGCAUGAAGUUUAGGGACCUAUCUGCAAAACAACAUUCUCUGAAAAAAAGGAAAAACGUUCUAUGUAAAAAAACACGAUACGGGCCGGAUCUGGUUGGCCCAUCAGUGCACAGGAGGGGCUGGGGGGUCUCACAGCGGGUCUUGGGCCGGACGGUGGUGAGGUAGGCCGGAUCUAGGCUUGGAGGCUGCUGGGCCACAACUGGAGAGGAGGCCGGCCCAGGCGAGUAGCGAGGCCGCUCGGUCAAAACGGAGGGAGUCAACGUGGGCUCCGCUAGCUCGUCUUUGGCGCAGAGGAACCAGGGGCGCGGCGGCUGGGAGUCCAACUCCGGCGAGCGGGGCAUAGGGGCGGCAAGGUGAGGGACUUGGCGACGGCGGCGGACUACAGGUGCGGCGGCCUGGAGCGGCAGCGAACCAGUUGUCGCAGCGGGUGUUGGAGCGGCUCGGCUCGAUGUAGAGGAGGCACGGGGUGAGCAGGAUGGAGAGGAUGCAGCAGCGGGACUCGAGGAGCUCGGCGAGGGGCCGAGGCAGCGGAUGCCGCAGCCGCGCGGGUGGAAGCAGGCUCCGGCGGCUUGCGCAGGGCGGCGCGGUGGGGCUUGCUCCGGCGGAACGAGGUGGAGGCGACGAACUCCUCGGGAGGCGCGGGCAAGGCGCCGGCUGAGGAGGCUUGGGUCCAGGCCGGUGCGGAGGACUCCAAUAGCGGCUUGGUUCGCUGGAUUCGAGAGAAGAACACGGCGGCUCGGCCUUGGCGUCCAUGGCGCGGCGGGAUAGCUCCUGGGUACCUGGAAGAGAGAGAUGUGAGAGGGAGAGAGAAAAGAGAAAGGAGAAAGGGAGGAAGAACGGGAGGACAAGGGGAAGGAAGAAGGAUGAGGAGCAGGGCCUGCUGGUUCGGUGGUGAUUGUCGCCGUUGGCGUCUAGUACUCGGGCAAGGCGGCGCUGGUGGAUCGAGGUGCUCGGGGACGAGCGAGCAGAGGAGGGGAUCGAUGGAUUUGGAAGGAGUGCAUUGGUUGGGUGGCGGCGGAAAUCAAGGGAGAGGGUCGGAGAGAAUUUGGAUCGGGAGGAGAUCCCGAGGUGGGAUGGUGAGUGGCGGCGGCGGGUGAG